Molecule: RNA transcript, 5974 nt
Organism: Zingiber officinale
Lineage: Eukaryota; Viridiplantae; Streptophyta; Magnoliopsida; Zingiberales; Zingiberaceae
Exons: 9
Source: RefSeq, a predicted model, not a curated record
GGGCGAUAGUAUGGCCUUUUAAAACAAUGCCACCUCCGACGAGAACCCUACCGCUUCCGACGUUCUCUCAACUCCUUCGCGGCCCUAGCUCUCUCAUUGGACGGCAUGAGCCAUGGCUCUCUUCUUUGACCUCAGUAUCCCCUAUCUCGAGGAUGGAGGUGACCCCUCGCUGGAGAUGAAGUCCCGUAAGGACGCGCGGCUGGAGACCGUAGUCAGGGCUAUGGAGCUCGGCUACGUCGGCAUCGCUUACGACCGCCACUUCCGCGUGAUUUCCGACUCUCUACGGUGCAGCAUCGACCCUUUCCCUUUGGACUCUCUCCUCGAGGUCGCUCCCUCACUCUUCUCCUCCGCUGCCUUCCACCGUGAUCUCCUCGGAGCCCCCCGCUCCUCCACAUUCCGCCAGUACACGCGCUUGACCGUCUCGGUCACCGGGGCUGCUGCCGCCGUAUCCCUCAAUGGCAACGCGCUACUUAAGACUUACGACCUAGUCGCUGUCCGUCCUCUGAACCAGGAAGCUUUUGACAAGGCUUGUGAAUCUUCUAUGGUUGAUAUAAUUACAUUGGACUUCUCUCAAAAACUUCCAUUCCGUCUGAAGAUUUCAUCCAUUAAGCUUGCUAUUCAGCGUGGACUAUAUUUUGAAGUUACAUACUCUCAUCUUAUAGCUGAUUCUCAUGUUAGAAGGAAGAUCCUAUCUGAUGUGAAGCUACUAUCUGACUGGAGUCGAGGGAAAAAUCUCCUCAUUUCUAGUGCUGCUUCAACUGUUAAUGAUAUUCGAGGGCCGCUUGAUGUUGCAAACUUAGCAGUAUUUUUGCUUGGUCUGUCUGCUGAGCGAGCGAAAUAUACUAUUUCUCAAAAUUGCAGGUCACUGCUAGCUAAUGCUAUAAGGAAAAAGCGCUUUUAUAAGGAAACUAUCAGAAUUGAAAGAAUCAUAUCAGAUGGGCAAUCCACUGCAAAAGAAUUUCAGCUUGAUAACUGGAAUGAAUGGGACGCCAUCUCCAGUGAGAAAGGAGAUUUGCCAUCAUUGAAUGAUAUUAAAAAUCUUUCUGUUUUUACUUGCAAACAAUCUUUUGGUUUAAAUUCAAUUGAUUUCCAGUCGAUACCUACUGAACCACCACUUUUGCUUAGCGAGAAUGCCAAAAUGAUGUCAUCACCAAGGAAUUCUGCAUCACCUGUUGUUACUCCCCAUGAACCUUGUGUUGUUGCUGAUGAUGUCACACAAGAUGAUUCAUGUAUCGGAACUUUAUUAGCUGAUACCCAGAAUUGCCAACCUGUAAUGGUUGAUAAAUGUGUAAAGAUACCAGAUGGAUUAUAUAAGGUUUCUUGUACUGGCCUACUGGUUUCAGCUAUGGCUGCAUCGAAUGUUGAUGAUAGAAUUAUUCAACCUGAUGCUAACCUAACAGACUCAGCUGUUGUGAAGAACAAGUCAUCAGAAACUGAUUUGGUGGUUCAAAAAAUUUCAUAUCAGUCCAAUAACCAUGCCUUUGAGUCUUUAAAUGAUUCUGCAGAAUUCACAAAUGGUAUCCCUAAAAAUGGAGAUCCAACAUCUGAACCUUGCAAGAAAACUGAUAAUAGUGGUGUCUUUCUACUGUCAAAUGCUGAUUCAACACCCACAAUUAUCAAAGACAACAAAUUUGUAGAGUUCCAGAAAAGCUUGAAUAGGUUUGAUGACCAUGUUUUUGAAGCUUCAAAUAACUCUGGGAAGAGUAUGAACCUUAGCGCGCAUGUUACAAGCGAUCAGUUAUCAUUAAGUGAUAAAUGGCCUGAUUUUACUGAUUUUAAGGAGAAAAAUAUUCUGAAAGUGUGUGAUUCAUCAAUGAUUUUUAUACCUGAGCUGAAAGAAAAUGAUCUGAUAGAUACAAGCCCAACAUGUAGAAGUCCUGGAAGACCUUUACUGUGUAACCAAGUAGAUGGUUCCAUCUCAUCUGGAGAGAAUUUUCUGCAAAAGGUUUCUUUUAAUGAGAUUGAAGAGCAGGAUGUUGGUUUAUAUUUAAAUAUCGACAAUCCUGAAGUGAAAAAUACUACCGUACUCAAAGAAAAGAUACAAAAGUCAAACGACAAAUUAGGAAAAAGGAAACGGAAAGAACAAUUGUUUUAUCCGACUUAUCAUUUGCCUUUUAAGGGUUCAUUUAAGCCUAUGCUUUUUAGGAAUAUCUGUUGCAAUGCCAAAAGAAGAAACAUUUGUAAGGAAAGAUGAUUCCUUAUUAUUUGUAGAUUUGGCUGAUUUUCCAUCUGAAGACACUGACGAUAAUUUUUGCAUACUGACCUGAAAUUUUGAUCAACCAUCUGUAAAAUAUCCUUAAAUAAUGUGUAUUUCUUAAAUUGUAUUAUCUAUACCGUGCUGUUUGAUCACACCUCUUUGAUUGCCACAUUGCCUCUCUUCUUCAAUGCCUUUGCCUGGAUGUUUCAUGUUCUUGUGACUCAUGUAUCUGCCUCUUCAUUUCUGUCCGCGACCACACACAUGCCACUCAUGUGUAUCCGUACUCAUUGCAGGCAAUCUAGUGUAGCAUGAACGAGUUAAAUAUAUUGAAGUUGACUGGGACUUCAUAUGACAUGCUGUUGUGUCUAAUAAUAUCAACACAACACAACACAACAUGAACUUUUACAUUGCUUGGUCUAAAUAUGAGAAACUUAAUAUGGUAAUUGCUACUUAGUCAUAGUCUAAACAGUUAAGGUCUUAUAUUCUUUUGUUUCUUGGCUUGGCCACCAUGCUUGUAGCAUGUUAUCUUGGCCUAUACUUGGUCCUGCUGACUGACUUCCUGACUCUGGCUGAGCACUGGAGUUUCACUAAACUUUAUCAACUUGUCUUGUUUUAUUAUUAUUAUUAUUUUUAAAUUUCUUGUAUGAGUUUGUCUAAUCAUAUUGAAUAGAUAAACUUUCCUUGUUGCAAUGGAGUAUGACAUUGUGUGUAUGAGGGAGGGAAAUGCAAUUUGGGAUGGAGCCAUGUGCAUCAUAAAAGUUUGUCUCCUGAGUGCCCUUUAAUUCAGUAUCAUUCAAUUUUAUUAUUCCAUAAACCAAUUCGAGGAUUAUUUUGGAACUAGCGCAUUAAGAUAAUUAGCUGAGAGCAACUUUCAGCUAGAAUGCUUAGGGUUGUUGCAUUGGUCAUGCAUUGAGAUUAUGAGACUUCAUGUGUAACUCAAAUGCUUGUCUUGCACUAAGACCGUUAACAACUUUUGGGAAUCAGGAUUAUGAGCACACUACCUUACUCCAACAGAGGGCAUAUUUGGCCUUGACCAAAGAAUUAGUUUUCUGUAGGACCUAGAUCUAAUAAUUGAUGCAGAAUAUUUGGCAAAAAAUCUUUGCUAACUCCCUAUCCAUUCUUUUCAUAAUUCAUUUUCCAAGACAGAUAUGCUUUUGAGGUUGAGAUGAAUCACCAAAAUUUUUUGGCAAAAUCACAAAAUUUCUGUAAGCUUGGAGUAUUGUAAUGAUUUUCCACUUUAACACAAAUUGGAGAUUCCUUUUGUUGGAAACUGCAAGUCGAUAUUAUAUGGUGAUAUCAAUGAAUUUCUUAGUCUUUGCUCAUCAAGUGGUUCAAUAUUUGCAGCACUACCAAAGAAACAUCUCUUUGAACUUUUUACAAGUCCCUUCUAUCAUAUCAGGUGACAUUCUGCACUUAUUUUGGAUUUCAUUGCCAAAUAGCUUAAGCACCCAAAUGCAUUCUGCAAGUUCAGCGUCACCUCACAAUAAUUGCAUUUCCACUUGGGUUUAGUGGUGCAACUAGGUCACCUGUCGACCUUCUGAUGGUAAAGCUUAAACUACCAAGGAAUAGAUGGUAUCUUAGUAUCCUACUUAUAUAUGCUGCUGCCAAUCAACCAAAGCAAAGUUGCGCAAGAACGUUAGAUUGCAUGCACUGUAAUUUAAGAUGUUCAUCAUGAGCUAACAAGUUAGAUUAUGUAAUUCCUGUCUGCAAAAUCUCAAUAUUAUAGCUGCUAUCAAUCAACCAAAGCAAAAUUGAGCAAGAAAGUUAGAUUGCAUGCUCUGCAACUAAAGAUGCCCAUCAUCAGCUAAGUUAAAUAAUGUAAUUCCUAUCUGCAUGAAUCUCAACAUUAUUGCAUUUAGUCAGUUUAACUGAUUUCUUGUCUAUUUGCCCAUUGAUGAUGAUACGAGCUUCAAUCAGCUCUAGAUAACAGUGAGAUGGUUUAACAAGUUCUUACGAUGCAUCUUGUGAGCGUUAAUGAUUUCAUUUCACCCAUAUAUCUGUUCUCUUCGUGAUUAUAUUUCACGAUAAUUUAUUCAUGUGCAUUCUUUAAUCUUUUGCAUGGGAAGAGUCAACUUAUCAUUGCCAGCUGUGAAAUCCUUGGGUGUGCAUGGGCUAUAUCAUGUUGGGUUGGUCAUGACCACUUCAAGUUGGUUUGCUGAAGUUAGUGUUGUGUUAUGUCAGUGUGAUACUAACCCUUUUGUGUUGUCCUUGUGUAUCAUGCAUGGAAUGCCUGGUGAUUGUGUUUGAUUGGCUUAGAUCCUACUGAUUCUUUUAUGUAUUAAUCUACAAUCUAAAGAACACAAGCCUCUUCCUGUACAUAUGUUUGCCAAUAGAUGACUGGAACGACAUUGGCAUUUCUUCUACAACUUUAUUAUCCUAAUCCCUUUACGGGCAGCCAAAUUCAAAGACCAAUCAAUUUCUUCCACAGAAGCCUCAGAAAUAUGCUCCAUGAACCUGGUGAAAUGAUUAGCCUAGUGGAAUCAUAAGCAGGGAAAGUUGCCUGAUCACUACAUGAGCUUCUGUUCAUUGGAAAAGUGGUAGGUCCAUACAAAUUUAGUCAACUGCAAUUUGAGUAGCUUUGAUGUGCAAUAGAGCCAGGAAGAAACACGUGAUGCAUUAUCUUCAAAUAUUCUUUAAAUUAAGUGGGUCCUCUGGUGUGACUGAAUAAUCUGCACUGGAAACGUUUCAUCUCCGCAAUCAUAUCCUGUUUGCUUCAACUCCACCUGUUAUCUGAUGCAAGGAAGCUGUGAUCAGAGAGUUUGAAAAUAUGUAGCUGAUCUUAUCUGUUUCCAGGCCAUGAGUUAUGGUUUCAAAUAGGGAAUGGAACAGCAGAAUCCAUCAUCUUCUUGCAAAGUAGGAAUCCCCCAUCAUUGGAGGGCACUAAACUGGACUAUCUAUCAGUGCUCUAGAGUCAAAAGGUGGCAUGGAUGUUCUGAGACAUACUUUUUGAUCUUAUGAUCUUGGUAUAUUGUUGUGUGACACAUGCUCUUAUAUGGAGCUGAUUAUGUCAUGGCCAUCUCUUGAUUAUAUGCCAUAGCUGGCUAACCUCAUUUAUCGAACAUUUUCUGAUGGCUGAUCAGUUCACGCAUAUUAUGCUCUGCUUUGUUUCAGAACGGUACUUGUUAUGAAGUUCCAACACAGUUUGAUUGGUUCAUUUAUUUUGGAGGAUUCGGUUUGGAUAGAAUGGACAUUUGUAGUGGUUGAUGCACGUGAAAGUGUGCUUGAUCAAAAGUUCUAGUUUAUGAUUGCAGUGAAGUGGAGGGCAACAGGCUAAGGAUUCCCCAACUGUUGAGAUUUUCCCGGUGGUGAGAAAUCUGUGGGCCACGUUAAGGCAUGAGUAGAGAUGAAUGUGGAGUCUUUGGGGGAGUUGACUAUAUCAGUCGGGUCUUAUCAAGGAUUGGGGGAGUUGACUUUCUGAUAGGGGAGCAUCUUUGGUGUUGAUCGAGUUAUGUCCACUGUCUUACGAGAGAAAUGGCGUACUCCCUAACAAUCUUAGUGGUGGUUCUGGUUCAUGCAGUGGCGGCAUCAUGCUUCUGUAGAUGUGCGGGGAGGAUAGAUUUGGCUUAAGAAGAACAUGCUUGUCCCUUGCGUCCAAGAAAUUUGUUCAUGCUUGCUGGCAGUGUUUUUGGAAGCUUGACCCAUGAGUAAAUCGUUGGUUUGGUUUUAACAUAGUUGUUUGGGUUCUUGAACAAGAUCAGGUUCGAUUUCUAAACAUUGACAUAUUUAAUUUGUCUUGAUCUGCAAAGUCAGUCAAGAAGAUGAAUCCUUUUUCCCCCC